This 1096-nucleotide long non-coding RNA is filed under the name Homo sapiens (human). Its description in RNAcentral is "HSALNT0388581". Lineage: Eukaryota; Metazoa; Chordata; Mammalia; Primates; Hominidae. The record is from RNAcentral.
AGAUCUGCAUUGUAAGAAAAAUGAGAAGAAUUCCUUCAGGAAGAAGAAAAAUGAUACCAGAUGGAUAUGUGGAUCCACAUAAAGGAACGAAGAGCACAGGAAAUAGUAACUAUACUGGAAGUGGUCCAGCCACCCUUUUCAUCUCUACCGUGGAAGACCUUUCAGGACCGACCUAGAUGGGGUUCAGGGGAAAAGAGACGAGCAGCCAGUGGAUCAGAAAACUUAUAAUAAGGUCUUCAUUCUGCAUUCAUUUCCGUAGCAUGAAACCUGUGACCAGACUCCCUCAGUUCAUACCAUGGCUCUGCCACUUAUUUGCUGCAUGAUCCCAGCCUAUGUGGUGAAUUUUAUUAGUGGAUUGCCCAAUGAUAAAUAAGGUUUCCUUCGUCAGUCCAGGCAGGACUGUGCGGUUGGAAAAGGGACGGAUGCUGGUCCUGGAAGGGGCGUCGUUAUCUAGAAGCUCCCAACCUAAGUGGGUGACUCAUAGGGAGGGCAAGGAGAGAAGGACACAGCAAGCAACUUACAUGUAAAACAAGACGUGUGGGUUAUUAUGGAAGAAAUUCACAACCAAACUUGGGGUUAGCCCGUAUUGUUUUCCAAGAACUCUAUGUGGACAGUGACAAAAAACAGACCUAAGAACUAGCAGACUGGGCAAAGCUUUUUCACAUAACAACAACAAAAAAAGCAAUUCCUCAGGAAAAAAUGGUCAAUGGGUCAUUGUGUGUAGACAAAACUACAAGUUCUGCUCCAGACUCUGGGGAAACCAUGCUGCCAUCUUCAAGCUGUGGCCAUUCUGUAAUACAGACUACGCUAAAUCACAUGUUGUCAUCAAGGCAGAAUAUUUUGUUCCUUUAUGGGUCAGCCUGGGAUACAAAAUUAGAGAAACUUUGCAAUGAAAAAUCCCUUGUGUCUCAUUGAACUUUUUCCUUAAUUCAAACCUUUCCUUUCACAGUUUUGAUUAGUGCCUUUGCCCAUGUGGACAAUAUUUUAUGAUCAGGUUUUAAGAGUAAUCCAUCCAUGGCUGCUUGGCUGCCUGGAACUUAAAACAACGACAACAACAAUGUCCAGAUAAACCCAAUAAAAUAGGUUUUUAAAUGUG